RNAcentral lists this ribosomal RNA (484 nucleotides) under uncultured bacterium. RNAcentral describes it as "bacterial SSU rRNA". It matches the Rfam family "Bacterial small subunit ribosomal RNA", at positions 15 to 518 of the family's 1533-position model. The record is from RNAcentral.
GAUCCUGGCUUAGGAUGAACGCUGGCGGCGUGCCUAAUACAUGCAAGUCGAGCGAGGUAGCUUGCUACCUAGCGGCGAACGGGUGAGUAACACGUAGGUAACCUGCCUUUGAGACUGGGAUACCCGAGGGAAACUUCGGCUAAUACCGGAUAACAACGGGGAUGGCAUCAUCUCCGCUUGAAAGGUGCGUUUGCACCACUCUUAGAUGGACCUGCGGCACAUUAGCUAGUUGGUGAGAUAACGGCCCACCAAGUCGACGAUCGGUAGCCGACCUGAGAGGGUGAUCGGCCACAUUGGGACUGAGACACGGCCCAAACUCCUACGGGAGGCAGCAGUGGGGAAUAUUGGGCAAUGGGGGGAAACCCUGACCCAGCAACGCCGCGUGAGGGAAGAAGGUUUUCGGAUCGUAAACCUCUGUCCUUGGUGAAGAGUUUGAGACGGUAGCCAAGGAGGAAGCCCCGGCUAACUACGUGCCAGCCGCCGC